RNAcentral lists this long non-coding RNA (1375 nucleotides) under Felis catus (domestic cat). RNAcentral describes it as "lncRNA (ENSFCAG00000048604.1)". Lineage: Eukaryota; Metazoa; Chordata; Mammalia; Carnivora; Felidae. The record is from RNAcentral.
AUGCGCGUUAAGAGAUGGCCAACAUGUAGUUCCAAUACUUUGGAAUCCGUGAAGUACUGGAAAACAGCUGAUAGACAAAUAAUCCACCUGGGAUGGUGGGAAGGGAGGGAGACCAGGUGUGCCUGUGGAGCAAAGGCUGUGAGCAACCAUGUAGCUUGGGAGCAGAGCUACCCAGUAGCCUUCUCGGGUGAUGAUAAUUACAGCCAAACAGAAAGUUCCCGUCACGCUCUCUCACAGCAGUGGUGCGAGAGGCUCUCCUCAUCACCCACACUCAAGACCAGCAUGACACAGAGCUCCACCAUGAUGGGCAGAUGUGAAGACAUGCCGAAUUCUGAAGCUUGCAAGAAAACGUACGAGUUGGAAGUUUUUUUUUAAGCAGUAGUCAAAUAUUAUUGCUAAAGGAAAAAAAGGACAUUGAACUCAGCACUAAGGGUAACUGAAACCUAAUGCAAAAAAGCAAAGGUAAGUUGGAAAUACAGACAAUUUUCUUCUGGCCAAGAUUUCCUCUCACCAAAGAAUCUUGUAAGGCGUGGACUUCUCAGACCUCUAAAAACUUUUCAAAAAGUCUCUUUCUUCCGUGGAUGGCCAAAGAACAGUUGUUCCCUGGUUCCCAACCAACAUCACAUUUGCCCUUAUCAUUUCUUUUACUUACAAAUGUUAGCUAACUUGUCCAAAACGGGAUUGAAAUAUUAGUUCUCCCCACACCACUGAACAGAUCUGACAAAGAACCAGCUCUAUAAACACUAAAGUUUUUAAUGGAUGAAACUAAUAAUCAUAACAAAAGCUAAAGAAAGACCGUUUCCAGGGCUGUGCAUAUAGCUGGUGCUAAGUACUGAGCAUAAAGGGUAACUUACUGUCUCACAGAAAAUGGUCACAAAAACCUCCUCUUUAUAAAUGGAUGCUCCUAAACUUUCAGUGAAUUUCCAACCCAUUUUCAAAGCCCUUAGUCAUGUUUGUAGAGAACAUUAAUAACCUGCAGUAACUUCUGCCCAUGUAGCCCUAUACUCUACAAAGAAUGUAACCAUCGGAUCUGUGUGAUGGAGGAAGCCUCUCCUGCCAUCCAAAUAUGAAGCCCUCAGAAAGAUUCUAGCACCUCCACAGUAUUUAUAGGUAAGGAAUGCUCUCAAAGACAGUACUAAUUUCCCAGAAGGAGCUCAACAAAUUAAACAGGGGAACACAAGUGGGAGUGCUUUAGUGUUAACUUAGCCAGAGCUUGUCGCUCAAGGGAACACUGAGCGGGAAGGAGGCACAAAACAUUGGGACGAAACAUUUUCAUUGGUGACAAGUAACAAAAGUUUGGUGCAAACUGUAAAGAUCAACUCAGCAGAGAGACCCUCACAUUUCAGAGAAAUUACAGACAAGCCUAUUGCAUAGC